RNAcentral lists this ribosomal RNA (602 nucleotides) under bacterium 4878K2-B24. Its description in RNAcentral is "bacterial SSU rRNA". It matches the Rfam family "Bacterial small subunit ribosomal RNA", at positions 74 to 668 of the family's 1533-position model. RNAcentral also lists the same sequence under 1 other name. The record is from RNAcentral.
GAUAGCUUGCUAUCAAUGCUGACGAGCGGCGGACGGGUGAGUAAUGCCUGGGAAUAUGCCCUGAUGUGGGGGAUAACUAUUGGAAACGAUAGCUAAUACCGCAUAAUCUCUUCGGAGCAAAGAGGGGGACCUUCGGGCCUCUCGCGUCAGGAUUAGCCCAGGUGGGAUUAGCUUGUUGGUGGGGUAAUGGCUCACCAAGGCAACGAUCCCUAGCUGGUCUGAGAGGAUGAUCAGCCACACUGGAACUGAGACACGGUCCAGACUCCUACGGGAGGCAGCAGUGGGGAAUAUUGCACAAUGGGGGAAACCCUGAUGCAGCCAUGCCGCGUGUAUGAAGAAGGCCUUCGGGUUGUAAAGUACUUUCAGUUGUGAGGAAGGCGUUGAUGUUAAUAGCUUCAGCGUUUGACGUUAGCAACAGAAGAAGCACCGGCUAACUCCGUGCCAGCAGCCGCGGUAAUACGGAGGGUGCGAGCGUUAAUCGGAAUUACUGGGCGUAAAGCGCAUGCAGGUGGUCUGUUAAGCAAGAUGUGAAAGCCCGGGGCUCAACCUCGGAACAGCAUUUUGAACUGGCAGACUAGAGUACUGUAGAGGGGGGUAGAAUU